ACGUCAGAUUUUAAUACAGCGCUAUCUGAGGGGGUUUUGCACACAUUUCUUUUUACUCUCUUUUAACAAACAGAACCACACAGACUUUGGAAUCCUUCAAAAAAAAACCUCGUCAGUACACACGGCUCAUCACUGCAUCCACAAACAAGGUCAGACUGCAAAUAACGUCCAGAAACGCACGCAGACUUCUCUGGACUCAAACUCAUCUGAUUUGGUCUGAUAAACACGACACAAUAACGUAAAACAUUAAAUAUUUAUUUCUACUGUUUUCAGUUUAUAAUACCAGUAAAAGCCAGUUUGAACUAUAAGCAAAAUAUAAAUAAAUAAUUAUUAAUCUGCAAUGUUUAAGUAUUUGAACAGAAUUUAAAGACUGAAGAGUGUCGAGCUGAAAGCUUUUGGAUGUUGGAUGAUCAGACUUGUUUAGUUUUCAUUGUUUAGCUGAUGAUGAGAAAUAAUAAACUGAUGUGUUCUGUGUCUGAGCUUUAGGAUUGCAGGGAAUGAAGAGCAGAUCUACACCAGGAAGCUGCUGGUUCAUCCCUCUCUGUAAGUACAUGAUGAAGUUGAUGAUGAAUGGAAUGGUGGCUGUAAUGUCCAUGUUGAUGUUUAUGCAGAAGGUUUAUUAGAUGAGCUGGACGAUCACAUGACGGCGUACUCACCUUUCCCAGCGGAGGAUUCGGAUCAGCACACGGGGAACCUGGAUGUUCAUCAUUCUGUAAGUUCAAGUAAAUAUUUAUUAUUAAGAUUAAUAAUCAUUAUUGUACAUCAUUACUUUACAUGUGCCUUUAAGUCCUUGCAGGUUUUGCCUCCAAGUUCCUGUAAGCUUUUAUUUUGUCUUCGAACCCUGAAAGCUUUUAUUUCCUGCUUUGGGGUUCUACAGCUUUUAAGGGGGACUUGUCCGACGCUUCAAGACUUGGGGGCUUUUAUUCUUUCGCCUUUAGGGCCCAGGGUGCUUUCACAUUCUGCACCCUGGGUUCCGGGGCUUUUACUUCUUCCGCGUCUGGUCUCUGGGGGCUUUAUAUACUAGUUUACCUCUGGAGUCUUGGCGCUUUUAGGGCUGUUACUUCUUCACCUUUGCUGUCUAAUAUGUACUCAGCAGCUGAAGAAUUAACGCCCUCAAAGCCUCAAACUCCCACAAGCUGUUAUGAAUAAAAUUUGGGAACUAUUAAAUAAAGCUUCUUUCUCUUUAUUUUUAUUUAUAAUUUUAAUGUCACAAGUAAUACAAGAGUAUUAAAGCAGCUGUGAAAUGUGUAACUGUGGCAGUAAAACAACACAACCUUUGGAUUUUCAUAAGAUCACACUUUGUUUUGUUUUUUACUUAAUUGUUAUAAACUAGAAUUGUCAUGAUGUGAAUGAGGUUUAAGAUAGCAGAAAAUUGUGAUGUUUGUUUUAAUCACUAAACUAAAAGGACUGAAUAAUAAAGCUCUACUGAUUAUAUUUACUGUGUAAGUUCACAUGAAAAUGUUCUCUCACCUGUCACAUAUUUACACAGUGGAUCGUUAAGCUCUAAUGAUUAUGCUUUUACUGUUUAAGUCAAUCAUUCAAAUGAACUAAUUUGUUUGUGUCUGGGGUCCUGAGGGUGUUUACUCUUCUAACUCUGGUAACUUUUAUUUAGAUUCUUCUGCCUCUGAUUAUUAACAGUAUUUAAAUCAUAUUACGGUAUAACAGACAGUAAAGAGUAUAACUUAGAUCUUAAUGAUCCACUAUGUUUGUAUUUUGGAUGAAGGUUUACACUUGUUUUUAUUUUCUAAUGUCAGUGUCAUUUUUACUGUUAUACAAAAGUAUUAAAGCAGCUGUGAAAUGUGUAACUAUGUGGCAGUAAUGAAACACGACCUUUUGGAUUUUAAUAAGUUCACACUUUUUUUCAUUUCUUAUUGUUAUAAACUGAUGAAUUGUAAAUUGUUGAUUAAUAGAAUUGUUAUGAAUGAUGUGAAUGAGCUUCAAGGUUGCAGGAAAUGGUGACUAAAUGACGUGCUGGUAACCUCUCUUUAGUCACCCAACAGUCCUUCUACAUGGCGCAAAGUCAUAAAGGACAGACGAUGGAUCACACCAUGAUGAAUCGAAACUAUCACUGAUCACACACACUCACACAUUCAUGCGUUUACACACUCGCACAUCGAGGACUUUCAAUAAUCAUGUUUUUGGAUUACAAGACUUUUUUUUACUGUAAACGGACUGGAUGAUGAAGCUCUGAUUGUACUUAAACAAAGUGUUAUGUUCUGUUUUUAUAAACUGUUUUGUUGAUUGUAUUUUUAAUUGUUUAAUCACAUUUUUACUUGUCUUGCAUUGCUAUGUGUUGUGAACUUGUACUGUAACCCUAUCCAGGUGAAGAACACUGUCGAGCACAAAAGCUGGCAAGGUGGGAAUUUUCCUCCUUAAAUUGAAUGUUAGGAGGUUUCUUGCCCACAUCUGGAUAGGUGAUCAGAAUUAUUGAGUUUAUUAGAAUACAAUCAUACUGAUUGAUAUUUAUAUGGUUGUUUUUCAUGUCUGUGAUUUAUUGUGGUCUUGUCACAAAGUAAAUCAUCUUUAUACUUUAAGUUUAAUUUUUUUUUGUUGAUAACUCAAUAAAUUCAAUAAAAUAAGUAA
Trichomycterus rosablanca is the source of this 2583-nucleotide long non-coding RNA. RefSeq lists it as uncharacterized. The record is from RefSeq and is a predicted model, not a curated record. Lineage: Eukaryota; Metazoa; Chordata; Actinopteri; Siluriformes; Trichomycteridae. The transcript is spliced from 2 exons.